RNAcentral lists this transfer RNA (65 nucleotides) under Corynis lateralis. Its description in RNAcentral is "tRNA-Ile". The record is from RNAcentral. Lineage: Eukaryota; Metazoa; Arthropoda; Insecta; Hymenoptera; Cimbicidae.
AAUGAAGUGCCUGAAAAAAGGAUUAUUUUGAUAGAAUAAAUYAYGUAAUUUUAUUACCUUUAUUA